AUUGAACGCUGGCGGAAUGCUUUACACAUGCAAGUCGAACGGCAGCACGGACUUCGGUCUGGUGGCGAGUGGCGAACGGGUGAGUAAUGUAUCGGAACGUGCCCAGUCGUGGGGGAUAACGUAGUGAAAAUUACGCUAAUACCGCAUACGAUCUAUGGAUGAAAGCGGGGGAUCGCAAGACCUCGCGCGAUUGGAGCGGCCGAUAUCAGAUUAGGUAGUUGGUGGGGUAAAGGCCCACCAAGCCAACGAUCUGUAGCUGGUCUGAGAGGACGACCAUGCAAACUGGAACUGAGACACGGUCCAGACUCCUACGGGAGGCAGCAGUGGGGAAUUUUGGACAAUGGGCGAAAGCCUGAUCCAGCCAUUCCGCGUGCAGGAUGAAGGCCCUCGGGUUGUAAACUGCUUUUGUACAGAACGAAAAGGUUUCUACUAAUACUAGGAGCUCAUGACGGUACUGUAAGAAUAAGCACCGGCUAACUACGUGCCAGCCGCCGCAGUAA
This 500-nucleotide ribosomal RNA is filed under the name uncultured bacterium. RNAcentral's name for it is "partial 16S ribosomal RNA". It matches the Rfam family "Bacterial small subunit ribosomal RNA", at positions 30 to 523 of the family's 1533-position model. The record is from RNAcentral.